ACAAUAGAAGCAACCUCAAGAUUAAGAGGAAUCGUGAAGCAUACAAAACAAAUAGUGACCUGGCAACUCAUCCUUUUUAAACCUACCUGCCCUAUAAAUACUUCGAGGACGAGCUUAGGCGAGUCAGUGAAGGAGUAAGAGAAGGAACAUACGCACGAUGAACAAGCAGCUUUUCCUACUCUUUUUGGUAUUGUCAUCCACACUGCUGGUGCAGGAGGCGCGAGCGGGACCUCUGCCAAGAGAGUGCGAGCACCCCACCCCCGACUGCCCGACGGUGAGGCGCGCGAGGGCAGGUAAGUGGAGAGGGAGACAAGGUUUGUGAUGUUAAGUAUAUCCUUUUUUUGUAUUGAGCAGUAUUUGAAUAUGUGGAUGUGUGCGUUUAUACACACGCGAACGGAGGAAUACAUAUAUACACGCACGUACAUACGCAUACGCACACGAACAUGCAUGCACACACACACACACACACACACACACACACACACACACACACACACACACACACACACACACACACACACACACACUCAUUAAAGUAUUCUAAUAUAUAUCCAUCUAUUUAUUCAGAAAUUCCUUCAGUAGUGGCUGCAAAACCAAUAAACAAUAUUUGUUUUUACUCUGCGAUAUCCAAUUUCAUCCUCUGAAAUGCUAAAAGCCCUUAAAAGCGUAAAGAAAACUCGGUGAUCUUUCAUGACUCCUCCACAGCCCCAAUAGAUUAUAUAAUAGAUGGACAGACAUACAUGGAUAGACAUCAAAUAAACACAGAUGAAUAGAUAGACAGAAAUCAAAUAAACACAGAUGAAUAGAUAGACAGAAAUCAAAUAGACACAGCUAGAAAAAAAUAUAUAGAAAGUUAGAGAGAUAGAUAGAUGGAUAAAGAUAGAUAUAUUGAUAGACGAACAUA
Long non-coding RNA from Penaeus indicus, 904 nucleotides. RefSeq lists it as uncharacterized. The record is from RefSeq and is a predicted model, not a curated record. The transcript is spliced from 2 exons. Lineage: Eukaryota; Metazoa; Arthropoda; Malacostraca; Decapoda; Penaeidae.